RNAcentral lists this ribosomal RNA (110 nucleotides) under Amphiprion percula (orange clownfish). The record is from RNAcentral. Lineage: Eukaryota; Metazoa; Chordata; Actinopteri; Pomacentridae.
GCUUACAGCCAUACCAGCCUGAAUGUUCCUGAUCUCAUCUGAUCCAAGCAGGGUUGGGUCUGGUUAGUACUUGGAUGGGAUCCACCUGGGAAUACCAGGUGCUGUAAGCU